Molecule: ribosomal RNA, 508 nt
Filed under: Parachauliodes japonicus
Lineage: Eukaryota; Metazoa; Arthropoda; Insecta; Megaloptera; Corydalidae
Description: partial large subunit ribosomal RNA
Rfam family: Bacterial large subunit ribosomal RNA (bases 387-508)
Source: RNAcentral
GUCUUUUUGAUUAUAAUUUAAAGUCUAACCUGCCCACUGAAUUUUUUGAAGGGCCGCGGUAUUUUGACUGUGCAAAGGUAGCAUAAUCAUUAGUCUUUUAAUUGGAGGCUUGUAUGAAUGGUUGGAUGAGGUAUUAACUGUCUCAAUUUAAUAAAUAAUAGAAUUUUAUUUUUAAGUUAAAAAGCUUAAAUUUAAUUAAAAGACGAGAAGACCCUAUAGAUCUUUAUAACUUAUUUUAUAAUAAUUUUUUAGGUUAAAUUUAUUUUUAUAAAAUUAAUUAUUUUAUUGGGGUGAUAAAAAAAUUUAUAAAACUUUUUUUGUAUAUUAACAGUGAUAUUUGAUUAAUUGAUCCAUUUUUUGUGAUUAUAAGAUUAAGUUACCUUAGGGAUAACAGCGUAAUUUUUUUGGAGAGUUCUUAUCGAUAAAAAAGAUUGCGACCUCGAUGUUGAAUUAAAGGUUAAUUUUAGGUGUAGAAGUUUAAAAUUUUGGUCUGUUCGACCAUUAAAUC